AGGAAGUAUUUUCCUUCUUAAUCUCAUAAUGUGAUGAUCGUGAGUGCAUUUGGCUCGAGGCUUUGUCCUUGGCGGGACUUUGUCAGUGUGGAAAACUCUAGCUACCUAUAUUUUACUUUUUCUGAUC
Molecule: small nucleolar RNA, 127 nt
Filed under: Eremothecium cymbalariae DBVPG#7215
Lineage: Eukaryota; Fungi; Ascomycota; Saccharomycetes; Saccharomycetales; Saccharomycetaceae
Source: RNAcentral